GAUGAAGAACGUAGCGAAAUGCGAUAAGUAAUGUGAAUUGCAGAAUUCAGUGAAUCAUCGAAUUUUUGAACGCAUCUUGCGCUCCUUGGUAUUCCUUGGAGCAUGCCUGUUUGAGUAUCAUGAGCAAAUCUCAAAGUCAAUUCCUUUUGUUGAUUCAAUUGGUUUUGCUUUGGACUUGGAGGCCUUGCAGAUUUCACAGUCUGCUCCUCUUAAAUGCAUUAGCUGGAUCUCAGUAAUUAUGCUUGGUUCCACUCGGCGUGAUAAGUAUCACUCGCUGAGGACACUGUUAAAAAGGUGGCCAGGAAAAUACUGAUUGAACCGCUUCUAACGGUCUAUUAAGUUAGACAAUUACCCUUAAGUUUGAUCUCAAAUCAGGUAGGACUACCCGCUGAACUUAAGCAUAUCAAUAAGCGGAGGA
This 418-nucleotide unclassified non-coding RNA is filed under the name soil metagenome. Its description in RNAcentral is "partial contains 5.8S ribosomal RNA, internal transcribed spacer 2, and large subunit ribosomal RNA". The stretch from base 1 to 120 matches the Rfam family "5.8S ribosomal RNA", at positions 35 to 154 of the family's 154-position model. The record is from RNAcentral.